This 253-nucleotide ribosomal RNA is filed under the name uncultured bacterium. RNAcentral describes it as "partial 16S ribosomal RNA". It matches the Rfam family "Bacterial small subunit ribosomal RNA", at positions 524 to 776 of the family's 1533-position model. The record is from RNAcentral.
UACAGAGGGGGCAAGCGUUAUUCGGAAUUAUUGGGCGUAAAGGGCGCGUAGGCGGCUUGGCAAGUGGAAGGUGAAAUCCCUCGGCUCAACUGAGGAACUGCCUUCCAGACUGCUUUGCUUGAGUCCGGGAGAGGUGAGUGGAAUUCCCAGUGUAGCGGUGAAAUGCGUAGAUAUUGGGAGGAACACCAGUGGCGAAGGCGGCUCACUGGACCGGAACUGACGCUGAGGUGCGAAAGCGUGGGGAGCAAACAGG